Ictalurus punctatus (channel catfish) is the source of this 3365-nucleotide long non-coding RNA. The record is from Ensembl. Lineage: Eukaryota; Metazoa; Chordata; Actinopteri; Siluriformes; Ictaluridae.
ACAGGAGAUCCGCUCACUCUGUGAUUGAUAGAUCUGGAGCAUUCUUGCAAGGAAGAGCGGGAUAAAACGACUAAACGAAGAUGUGCGAAGUCGAGAGACUCUUUCCAGAAAAACACUGAGUGCCGAAUUACAAGCAAAAACUAAGUGUUAGUUAAGGGGUGUGUAUACUUAUGCAACCAGGAUAUUGCAAGGUUUUUCUUCUUUUUUUUUCUUUUCCCCCUAUUUGUCUUUCACUUUAAUGUUGUUGAGGUGGCAAAGUGUCUGUGUGUGUGUGUGUGUGUGUGUGUGUGUGUGUGUGUGUGUGUGUGUGUGUGUGAUGCUGCCAGUCACAGUAGCAGAUAUAGUGUAUGCUAAUGCGUACGUCCCCUGCGGACGUGUAAGUAAAUCCUGCGUGUGUGUAAUGAAUUGAUGGUUUUAUUAGAGGCUCUUUUUGUUAUCCGAGCUCUGAAAAGGAAAAAGGAUCCGCUACAAGGGAAAAGGAACACUGCGGAAUAUCGAUCCCGCCCCGCUCCGCCGCCCGCCAGAGACGAUCCAUAAUGCAUUAAGCACUUGAGCUUCAGAGACGGCGAGAUGCACAGCGUCAUCCGACAGACGCGGCGUCUCUGUCCUAUGUCCUCUCAAACACACACACACACACACACACACACACACACACACACACGGGACAGUAAAACGUUUUGUUCCGGUAUUAAAUACGCCACCUGUGUGGUUAUCUUACCCACAGUAAUGCCGUUCAGUUCUAUUCACUACAUGUGCUCACUACAUAGGGUGUAACUUAAUAGCAUUAUACACCCUACCUAGCACACGAUACGGUGUACAUGUGAUUCUUAAAUCGGUAAGUGCUAUUUCUGUUUCGACGUGACGUUCUGUUUUCGUUACGAAUAAAGUAUUGGCGCCCUCGGUGUUGUUUGGGUCGCUUUCCACCGUCGAAAGAAACUCACGGUGACUCGUGCGUGAUAUUUCACCCCGGCUGGGACACGCCCGUUUUAGCGUCAAUCGCCCCUGGUGCUCUUCCAGCAGUUCUGCUCGUGGUUGAUCUGUGUACUCCAACGAGGUCCCCAUCCACCAUUUGGAAACAAUCAGUAGCGUAAAAGCGCAAGGCUAUUAAAAGCUGGAGCACGGGGUGGUACGGCUGCGUUUCGGGCACUGCCACGUCUAAUUGCGGGUUCACCUUUUUAAUUUAAUCUAAUCACAGGUUCCUUGCUGAGUCGGUUCCUGUUCAGCACCAUCCUAAAACUCGAGAGGGUUGAGACGGUCCCUCUUUCACUUUCUCCAAGCCACCAAAUAAGUGCUGCCAUUUUGACAGUUUAAACCUCCUCAGUAGCAAGUUUACAUUUAAUCCCUGACGGAAAUUUAAAUCUGAGUCUAAAGUGAUGGAGCAGCAAGAUUACAGCUAAUCCAGGUUUAUUGUGAAAUUAAAUCCAGGAUUAAAUGGAUGGUUUAAAUGUAAGCAAGGUUUAAAGUUUGAUGUAACAGAAUUAUUAGAUAAACCUCGAUUUAAUCUGGAUUUAAGCUUCAUCCUUAUUGGUCACCUCGCCAUAAUAAAUGUUUUAUUCACUGCAGUUCGUUCUGCAGGAGCGAUCGUACACGACUUUUCCAGCUCACACAAGAGAGAAGUUUUUAAUGUGCAAAUGUGAAGCGUGUGUAAAAACAAACCGGCGGAGGGAAAGCCCGGUGUAACGUGUGUGUGUGCGUGUGUGUGUGUGCGCGUGUGGUGGUGGUGUUGUCGUCUGAGCUGCGCUGGAUUUUAGCCAAUGUAAAAACAAGGCCUCACAUGCUGUAGAUGUACUACAAAAGGUGUGUAAUGGGUGAUACGGUGACGUUUUCUGUAAGGAGUCUCCAGUGUCAGCGCGGCGUAACAGGCAGAGGUAAAGCCGGAGUUUUUCUGACGUCUUCAGGACAGAGGAGUGUAAUUAUGCUAACAGUCAGAGGUUAGGUCUUAAUGUCUUAGAGUCUUGUUGUCUUGGAGUCUUGGAUUCUUGGAGUCUUGGUGUCUUGGAUUCUUGGUGUCUUGUUGUCUUGGAUUAUUGGAGACUUGGAGUCUUGUUGUCUUGGAGUCUUGGAGUCUUGGAUUCUUGGAGUCUUUGAGUCUUGGAGUCUUGUUGUCUUGGAGUCUUGGAGUCUUGGAGUCUUGGUGUUUUGUAGUCUUGGAGUCUUGGAGUCUUGGUGUUUUGUAGUCUUGGAGUCUUGGAGUCUUGGUGUCUUGUUGUCUUGGAGUCUUGGAGUCUUGGUGUUUUGUAGUCUUGUUGUCUUGGAGUCUUGGUGUCUUGUUGACUUGUUGUCUUGGAAUCUUGGAGUCUUGGUGUUUUGUAGUUUUGUUGUCUUGGAGUCUUGGUGUGGUAUCAGAGGAGUAAAACCCUUCAGGGCGUGCUGUUACAGGAAAAGAAUCAACAUGAGUAACUCCGCUUCAUCACACCACCCUGUCAUCGAUUAUUUUAUUCCUUACUUACCAUAAAGACUUUUAAUAUAAGAUUUAUAUAAGAGUUGGUCAAAAUAUUGUUCAUUGGGAAAACACACACACACACACACACACACACACACACACACACACACACACACACACACACCAUUGCUUCUGUUUUUUCCUCAUUUUCUUUGCACAAGCACUUUAAUGGGAGCUUAAGAUCAUAAACGUGUGUGUGUGUGUGUGUCUUGUCAGGGGUUACACACAGCAGAAAUUGUUAAUGGCUGCUCUCUGGAGACUCCAUUCAUCUGCUGUGUGUGUGUGUGUGUGUGUGUGUGUGUGUGUGUGUGUGUGUGUGUGUGUGUGUGUGUGUGUGUGUAAGAGCAGUAUUGUGGUUCUGUUCUGCUUCUGAUGAUGAGGCACGCAGCACAAACAUACAAUUCAUAAAACACACAGUUCAGUCUCAGUCCAGAGCUGCUGCGGGUGCUUCUGCGUUUGUGUGUGUGUGUGUGUGUGUGUGUGAGAGAGAGAGCCACUGCUUUAUGUUGUUACAAAGAUUGCAGCUUAAUUGACAGCUUGCCAUGACGGGGAAAUCAUGUGAUUUCUCAAAGCGCAUGUCAACAGGGCGGAAGAUGCGAGCGUUUGCCGGAAAGCGGCUUAAACUGGUUUUCUCGCUGCUGCUUAACGACCGUCUAUUGGCUUUCCAGUAUGUGUGUGUGUGUGUGUGUGUGUGUGUGUGUGUGUGUGUGUGUGUGUGUGUGUGCGCACGUGCUUAGAACAGGAGUUGGUGUAAAAUUAAAUUGGGGAAAAAAUAGACGACAGAAAUGAAAUAAAAGCUGUAAUAACUAUAUAACGUAGCUGUCGAAUGUGGGCAGGGCCUAAUAUUCUAAUGAGCGUGCUUGAUUGACAGCUCUCUGUCACAAGUUAUUUACAGAGUGAACAUCCGACCGAACGAUUAUAG